Molecule: long non-coding RNA, 6617 nt
Organism: Bacillus rossius redtenbacheri
Lineage: Eukaryota; Metazoa; Arthropoda; Insecta; Phasmatodea; Bacillidae
Exons: 2
Source: RefSeq, a predicted model, not a curated record
AAAUAUUUAUGUUUGUGCGUUCGUCAAUUAAAAUAUUCGUGAUUCGAAGUGCAUAUCCGUUAAUCCGGUGUAACUCCAAAAUAUCCGUGAAAACAGAUAAAAUCCGUAAAAACGGGAACUCUGCCUUAAUCUAUUAUGAAUGCUGUUUUUACAUAAAUAACCAGUGGAUUACUGGGUCUUAAACCAAUGUACCAGAUUGCUUUUAAAGCAACGGACUAAAUUCCUGUAAAUAUGGCAUCUUUAUUUUAGCACAUCAGAAAUGUUUUGGAAAAGAAGUUGACAACAGUGAAUUUUUAAACAUUGUAAAGUGAACCGGAAACUUUUAUUAACUUUUUCAAUUCCUUAACAUAAAAAUCGUUUUGAUAGAAGUUGAAGAACGUUUUGAAAGAACUUUGGGAAAGUUUGUUUGGAAUAUCUCUACAAUGACUACCAGAUUGAUAUAUAUAUAUAUAUAUAUAUAUAUAUAUAUAUAUAUAUAUACCAACAAUUGGAUACUGAUAUCUAUCGGAAUUAGUGCGUUAUGUGGUGCAAUUAUCCUGAAUUUUAUUUCGUUCAGCAUUCGUAAGGUUGUAACGAAUUUUGCAGAAUUCAGGUUUCACGAUGCGAAAGAAAAACAUUUUCAGUGUGAGAUGGAUAUCACAUCAUCUCAGUCUUCGCAGUUUUCAGAAAAGAUUGUAAUUUGGAAAUUUUACAAUACACAUGGCAGUUGUGAUUCAUUGAAUUAUUUUGGUAUACAGUGAAACCUCUUUAAUACAAACCUGAAGGGACCUAAAAUUUUGCAGUUUGUAUUAACGAGGUUUGUAUUAACAGGUGCAUAUGCUCACAUUAAUAAUAAUCGACAAAAUCAAGUAUUGAUUUUUUACUUGAAAAUUAGUCAAAUAGAGAAUUAAAGAGGCUUGAAAAAUUCAUUGAUUUUUUUCUGCACUUUUUUAGUUGCAUAAAUGUUCUUUACUGCACUCCAAAGUUUGUCGAAGGAAGACAAGACAUCAGUGUCUACAUCACUAGCAGCCAGAACAUUUUCCAAGACAAUUAAUGCUGAAGAAGCUUCAUUUCUGCUUGGAAGUUCGUGAACGUCGUCAUCCACAUCAUCACUCUCUUCUUCUUCUCCAUCCUCACAUACAACUGGAACAACUUUGUCCAGCUCACUUUCACAUUCAUUCAGUGGUGCAGCUUUUGUAUACACAUUAUCAUCAACAUGAACAUAAUCUUUGAAGUUGCCAGAAGCACCAUGUUGCCGAAGUUCUUCCCAGCCUUCCACUAGGUCUGAACUAUCAUCUUCGGGACUUUCAUCUGUUUUGCCAAACCCACUUUUGGCAAAACAGUUUUGGAUUGUUGCUGUUGAUACACUGUCCCAAGCCAUUGAAAUGUUCCUCAUCGCAUCCAACACAUUCCACCUUGGCUGAGAAGACUUCUGUAGCUCAAGCUGCCUAAUGAGGUACUUCACUAGACGUGUCCUGUAGAACCUCUUGACUGUGGCAAUGAUGCCCUGGUCCAGUGGUUGCAUGAAGCUGGUUGUAUUUGCUGGCAGGAACAUCAGUGUGACAUUAUUCAGCUGUAGCCCAUGAGCUGUAUGUGCUGCACAACGAUCUAACAAUAGAAGAACAUUUCUGUUCAGAGUUGCCAUCUUCCUGUCAAACUGGAUUAGCCACGACUGGAACAAUUUACUCGUUACCCAUCCAUUUUCAUUUGCUUCAUAAUCACAGGGCAGUCGAGCAGUAUCAAUACCCUUGAAACAUCUAGGUUUCAUUGACUUUGAAAUUACUAAAGGUUUCAGCUUUGUGCUACCAUCCUGGUUGCAGCACAACAAAACAGUGAUUCGUGCCUUGCUAUGUCUGCCACCAUGACAAGAUUCUCCUCUGAAGGCCCAUGUCUUGUUUGGAAGCAAGUUAUAAAAAAUUCCGGUUUCGUCCAUGUUAAAUAUGUCGCGUGGCGCAUAUUUAUUCAAAACUGGCUGCACAGAACCUAGCCAAUCAAGUGCAGCAUCUUUGUCCACAGCUGCACUCUCUCCACAAACAGCUUUAUAAACCAAAUUAUUUCGCUCCUUGAAUCGCUGCAACCAUCCAUUACUGCACUUAAAGUCAUCAAUUUUCAGUGUCAGUGCAAAAUAAUCUGCCUUUUGUUGGAUCAUUGGCCCGGACAUGGGUAUGUUACCAUCCCGCAUCUGUUGAAACCAUUCCAGUAGCUUAUCUUCCAGUUCCUUGUGUUGAGGACCACGCAUACUUUUUUUUCCCUUUGUACAACUACCACUCGCGCACGCUGCUUCUAAUUUUUCACUCUUGCUCACUAUCAUCGAGAGAGUCGACAACGGUAUGUUGAAGGCUUUCGCGAUUUCCGUUUUAGACUUACCGCUAUUGUCGAUGCUACUUAAAAUUUCCAUUUUUGCUGACAAAGAUAACUCGUUCCGUUUACGCUUCGCCAUUUUACAGCACGCUGGUUAGUUCAACAAAAGUAAACAGAUAAAAAAAAGUGUCAAGAGUGACCAACCCAACAUUAUGCACCAUGAGUCCCGUAUGACAGCAUGUUCACCUUGGAGGACGCGGUAUUCAGUUGGAACAUCAGCAGCUAACGAGAGCAGUUCAUGUUCUUGGAACAGCCCAUGCGGCGUGUGGUUACGGUUUUGUAUUGUAACUCUCAGGUAAUUGUGGGCUUCUACUUGUUUGUAUUCUGUUUUUAAAAUGUGUAAAAUUCUUUAAAUGGGAAAUUUAUCUUGCAAAUAAAUAUUUUUCUAAUCAAGGUAUUAAUUUCAAUAAAAGCAAUUUCCUUUAAAUAGCCGCGUUCAUUCUAGUGUGUUUUCUACAGUUUGUAGCACUGCACUAUUUUCCGUUGUCUAUGAAAAAUAUGGUUGUUAACAAAACAAGACGUGGUCGUAAAAUGUUUGCUGUUCGAAGUACAGUCAAACCUCUAUCUAUCGUUUUUCAGGGGACCAACAAAAAAAUUCAGUAGAUGCGGACAUUCAAUAGAUGUGGACUUCACUCUAAGAAUUUUUAAAAAAUAUUUCAACCUCAAAAUUAGUGUCAGAAAUAUAUCAGUUACUUGUCAUUAAAGUUAAAUCAGAUGAAAAAUAAAUAAAAAUGGUAGUAUUUUACUUAAUUCAAUUUACACUUGCAAAAAAAAAAAAAACAUACGCACAAUAAAUCUACAUGGAAAUUAAAGUCUUUUUCAAUAUCCUGAAGUCUGAAAUAUGUUUACUCAUGUCAUCAAAUGUAGAGCUGUACUGAAGAAGCCGAUUUUGCCAAUAUUUAGUUGAAUCGGCAUUUCUGCCGACUUCCGAUACGCUUGUUAAUUUUCGGGCGAUAUUACUGAAAAACGAGAGAGACUGCCAUAACCUAAAAAUCCACGAUUACCCUUUUCGCUUUUCGUAGUAGUACUGCAUUUUUUCAGAUUGCAUUAUUUCUUUGCAACAUGUGCCAAACGUACAUAUAAAAAUUUAACAUCCUAUUUUUCAAUAAUGUUCUUUAUUUUUAAUAUGUCAUAAAUAAAUACAUUACCGUCACGGUAAAUAUACAUCUCGGUUGUUACGGUAACUGUAGUGCAAAUGUGGUAGCUAUCGUGCUUCUGUAGUAAUUAUGGUAUCGACAAAGAAUCUUUAGUUCUUUUUAUGGUAAUUAUCUUAGGAUAACAAUUGGGUUUGUACUGUAGUUAUGGUACAUCAUCCAUUUUUCUUCAUAAGUUGUUGUUCAUUUGUCUUUUUUUCAUAUUUACGUGCUCCAUUACUUGGCUGCAGAUUUAAGUUGAUUUUUACUACUGUAUACUAUCGUUAUUGUUUUUAUGAUGGUUUCUUUCUAAGAAAUGGUUAUUUCUGCAAAAUCUUUAUGGUUAAACGAUCAUCUAUUAUCAUUUAUAGUGACGGGACCACAUAUUUUGUACGAUCAAUGCGGACAAAACGAUAAUUCAAACAUCGGUACAAGCGGACUUUUUUAACCUUAGUUGUAUGGCAAUUUUGCCGGGACCGUACAAAGUAUACGAUAAACACGGACAAUCGAUACAUGCGAGUUUGAUAGAUAGAGGUUUGACUGUAGACCAUUUACCGUACAAAUUAUUUGCCGUUAACAGAAUUAUAGUGAAGCUGUGUGCACGUGAUUAAAGUGUGCGAUUCUUGUUCUAAAAUUUCAUUCGGUUUAUCCGAUAAUAAAACAAUAGUACACUACGUGAGCGGACGUGAGGUUACUUCGUAAUACAUAAUAACGAAUAUUUCGUAUUAACCGUAUUGAUUGACAUUAAAUAUGCUAUCCCAGUCUGAAGGGGAAUUAAAAGUGUUCGAAUAAACGCGAACUUUGAAAUAACCGGUAUUUUAUUAACGAGGUUUCACUGUAUUAAAUUUUAAUGACUAUAUGAAAAAUGCAACUCUCUCAACUCAACUCGAGAGUUUUUUGCUGGAACUCAACUCGAACUCGAUUUGACUUGAAAAACCUCUGCUCGCAGAUGUCCAGAUUCUGCAUUUUAAAAAAUUUUUGAUAAUUAUUGUUCCAAUAUGACGUACAUAUGUAAGUAUUACCAAGAUAAUACCAGUAUUGACAACAAAAUCCCUACAUCCUAACGAUUUUAUAUAUUAUACUGAAUUGUACCUUUAUUAGGGUGACAAAGAGUGAAUUCUAUGUUUUUAAACUUUCGUAACUAUAAAAAUAUUCCUGUCAAGAGACUCAAAAAUUAAUUUUCUGCCGAUUGAUAAAGAGUAAAAUGCAGGCCUCAUCUUUCAUUCGAGAUGCUUUACUCUGAGAAAUGUGGUGAUUGAUUAGAAAAUAACUUCACUUUUGUUGCUUUAAUCACACUGUAUCUGUCGUGUCAAUCAGGCUAUUGUAAUUUUAGUGUUAACACUUUUUUGCUAAUUGUUGGUAGAAUGGGACGACAUAACAUAAAAGUAUUUAGAGCAAUUACACAUCUGAACAGUAGAGGCCCGAGGCACACACCUGGAGUGUCGAACACGUUGAGCAGGUAGCUCUUGUUGCGCACGUCCUGCAGCACCAGCGUGACCGGGAUGGCCUUGAUGGACACCCCUCGCUCCUGCUCCGUGAACAAGGUGUCGGUGUACCGGAGCGGGCGCUCGUCGGGGGCGCGAAGGCCCGGGUGAGUCUGGCGCACCAGGCAAUCCACGAACGUCGUCUUCCCGUGGUGCAGAUGUCCGACGAGAGCUACGCUGCGGAUCAGUUUGUAGCAGUACCUCUUAGAUGGAAGAGCUACACCUGUCAUUCUGAACACGAACCAAGUUUUCCGGCAGUAGAUGGGGGCAUUGUAGGCGAGACCAGAGACUAAGUAUGGUGAUCAGGGGAAAAGAACUGUGUUUAACCACCCCUGCUGGUAGCUGCCGGCUGGCCCGGAGAAGCAAGACGACCCCUGGUGUUUGCAGCUUAGGCGUGCAAGUUGGACAAGGACAGUUGUCGCUUGCAGCUGUGGGGUUUUGCCUCCAUGAUCACGAACUUGCCCAGAAGAUGGGGAGAUUGUAGUCUGGAGCUACAGAGGGGACCCGAGAAGAAGUGUAGCUCGAGUGAGUACUAGUUAAUUUAAGAACCUUUAAAACUGUCUAUGACUACGUGAAUUGUGCAUCACUUCUCCAUUUAUCAUUUUCCAACCUCUUUCCUACCUCAUUUUCCUACCUCUUCCGUACCUUAUCCUUCUCUGAGAAAUGUGGUUUGCACGAUAAAUGUUUUAACAUUGCAGAUGAGUCGUUUUUAUUUUAAGUAUCAACAACUUGCUUUUAAGUGUCAUGUGGUCAUUUAACUAUUAUUUUUUUGAAAACUAUGGUAACUGGUUUCCCCCUUGGUUGGUUGUUUUGGUUUUAUGUACAUUUGACAAUGAGCAGAUAACAAGACAUCAUUAUUUAAAAACGGUUUAUUUAUUUGUGAAUACUUGUUUUAAAUAACUGGUAAAAAGUUGUCCACUUCUAAGUUAAGAGUAUGGUGUUUCCUAGGGUUAUAAUUUGCUUGUACUUGUAUGAAUCCUGAUGGUGGUAUUGGGACGAGCGACAUCGAGAUGGGCGAGACCGGGGCUGUUCGUGUGUCAACCCUGAGUGGAGGCAUCUCUUCACCGUCUCCCUCCUGGCUGCUUGCUGCCCAAGAGGUGAUAGCAUGUGAGGUUAUGUACGCUACACUUAUUAUACAAGGGUGUAGUAAUGAAGUUCUCGGAAAGUUUGAAUACUGUAUUUAGAAGGAAAAAACCAAACACUUUGUUGUUUGGAAAUUAUGAAAGAGUUAUCUGACUAAAUUUUAUAAAUAGACAAAUUAACCAUAAUCUAUCACUUUCAAGUUAUGCUCUAUCCUUAAAAACAUUCUAGUCUUAACAGAAACCUAGUUAAAGAGCUCGAUUAUUUAUAAUGUUGUUAAAACUUCACUCAACAGUCUUAUGUGUCAAUACAUAUAUUUUAAUUUAGUUAAUAAGAUUUUACUGUGAUAUUAUUUACUGUGUUCCCUUGGGGAAAACUAUUGUAAUGUUUGUACAUGCUGUUUGAAAUGUGGAGAUGAAUUGUUCAAAGUAAACUAAUAGUUAAGUUGUGACGAUUCAUUAUUUGUUUAUUUAUUUAUUUGUUCAUGAAAGUUGGAGGUUAAGAAAUUGCUGUUUCAUGGCUUGUUAUGGUUAUAAUUUAUUUUAUUUUUUUAAUAAAACCCCAUGUUGAAUUCUUCAAA